Molecule: long non-coding RNA, 1728 nt
Filed under: Sorghum bicolor (sorghum)
Lineage: Eukaryota; Viridiplantae; Streptophyta; Magnoliopsida; Poales; Poaceae
Description: long non-coding RNA (SBIC_LNC010696)
Source: RNAcentral
UGGUCCUUAGGUCGGUGGGAGGCUGGGCCAGGUGGCAUGACCCAAUUGGUCGGUCGACCGACCGACCUUUGGGCCCCUGGCCCACCACUGGCCUCCUGGAGGUGUCCCCACUUGUCAUGUGAAGUGUUGUCCAAAGUUGAGUCUAGUUGCACACUUGCUUGCUUCCAUGUGGGCCCAAGGAUCCAUGUGCUAAGUGUUUGAACCGUUGAGGGCAAGCACAGUUGGAUCCAAUGGUUGGGAUUGACUCCUUGGAGUAUGCCAUGGCUCAAGCCAUGGAGGGGAGCCCUUGGUGGGCCCAAACCAUGGUCGGCCGACCGAGGUUAUGGGGCCCACAGGGCUCAUUUCCUUCUUCCCUCCAUCGAACAAGCUAAGAGUACAAGUGGAACUUUAUUAGUGAUAAAUAUGUUCAUGUGAUGCUUAUCUUCCUUCAAUCAAGGACUGUUAACGGGAUUUUGAGUAUAUAGAACUGGGUGUUAUUUCCCGUCAACAAAUGGUCAUGCUCCCAAGAUCAAGAUCACUUACAUCCACAUAUAUCCUGCUGCUCCUACCCUUGGAGUACGCAAAACAUGCCUUUCCACCCCAAAAUCUUUCUCCUCCACUGGGAGAAGAUUCAAAAAAAGAUUGUUAGGUUUCCAAAUAAAUGCUCCAAGAUUCUUAUUUUUCUCUUCUCCAAGUUCAUUGUAUCCUAAGUAAGACAUAGGAGAUACUUUGUCAAAAAAAAAGAAAAAAAGAAAAAGAGAAGUCUUUGAUCUCUAUGCCUUGAAGUUCAUCAUUGAAAGCAGGAAGAAGAUAUCCCAAUACCUCCACAACAAAGUUCUUCAUAAAUUCUUCAAUUGGAGGUAGUCUAUCUAGGAGCAAAGUAGAAUUAGGUUAGCCACCAAUUAUCUCCACACACAAAUGCACAUCUUGAUCUAAGGGUAUGGUCUCCCCUCUGAGCAUCCCAGUUUUGACAAAGCAACACAUGCAAUGUGAGUAUGCUACAUCAUUGAAAUACCCUCGGCUCUAUAUAAGCCUAUUAGUUAUAGGGUGAUAGAGAGGAGGCAUGAUGCUACUCCGCCUUAUUCUAAAAAUACCACAUAUUCUAAGUGAAAGAGAAAAGGAAAAUCACCACCAGUGCCAUGGUAAGGAUCCACAAAUAGCACAUAUGAGAGACUAUAAAGGGUCAUAUAAAGGAAUCUUUGCAUAUUAUUUUGAAAACUUACAAAAACUCCAGAAUGAAGGUUGAUAAAAGAACUUGAUACGCACGCUUGACUUGAUUGUUCUGUCUGUCAACUACUCAAGACCCAAGUGAAGGUCAAAAGCUCCAUAGUUGAAGGUAAUACGAGUAAGUUUGAAAGUUAGAAUAGUUAAAUACAAUCCAAGAUGAAUUCUUGUUUGAACACAUGUGUACCUUUGAGAAGUCAAAGCAUUGUAGCCACUACUGAUCCAUUGUUCAGAUUGGCUUUGCUAAGGGACUAGCAAAGGAUAACCUUGGGGGAAUUUGUUGACGAUCAAUAAUGCACAUUUUUAUCCAUCAACUAUUACUUGAUAUGACAUGAUAUGAACCACAAAGCAUAAUUAUAGGGUUUGAAACUAACAAGUUCCACGAGUUUUGUUGAAUCUAUGUUUUACAGGGGUUAGACUAAAAAAGGUCUAGAAUCACCAAAUAGAAGUAUCUCAAGUGAUGCAUUGGUGUACACCAUUACGAAGAGCUCAUAGAGACACAUGAAAUAGAGUUUUGAUUCACCC